GCACUUCUGAAGAGUCCCAAAAAUAGGACGAAACGGCCGUCCAGUGC
RNAcentral lists this non-coding RNA (47 nucleotides) under Schistosoma curassoni. Lineage: Eukaryota; Metazoa; Platyhelminthes; Trematoda; Strigeidida; Schistosomatidae. The record is from RNAcentral.